AAUAGAUACCCUGGUAGUCCACGCUGUAAACGAUGUCAACUAGCUGUUGGCUAUAUGAAUAUAGUUAGUGGCGCAGCAAACGCGAUAAGUUGACCGCCUGGGGAGUACGGUCGCAAGAUUAAACUACAAAGGAAUUGACGGGGGCCCGGCACAAGCGGUGGAGCAUGUGGUUUAAUUCGAUGCAACGCGAAGAACCUUACCUACCCUUGACAUACAGUGGAGCUUGCAGAGAUGUGAGUGUGCCUUCGGGAACACUGGUACAGGUGCUGCAUGGCUGUCGUCAGCUCGUGUCGUGAGAUGUUGGGUUAAGUCCCGUAACGAGCGCAACCCUUAUCCUUAGUUGCCAGCACGUAAAGGUGGGAACUCUAAGGAGACUGCCGGUGACAAACCGGAGGAAGGCGGGGACGACGUCAAGUCAUCAUGGCCCUUACGGGUAGGGCUACACACGUGCUACAAUGGUUGAUACAGAGGGCAGCGAAGGGGUGACCUGGAGCAAAUCUUAGAAAGUCAAUCGUAGUCCGGAUUGG
This 527-nucleotide ribosomal RNA is filed under the name uncultured bacterium. Its description in RNAcentral is "bacterial SSU rRNA". It matches the Rfam family "Bacterial small subunit ribosomal RNA", at positions 777 to 1301 of the family's 1533-position model. The record is from RNAcentral.